This is a non-coding RNA of Macaca mulatta (Rhesus monkey), 2437 nucleotides long. Lineage: Eukaryota; Metazoa; Chordata; Mammalia; Primates; Cercopithecidae. The record is from RefSeq and is a predicted model, not a curated record.
AGCCUUUUCCUCUGCCCUGUGAGGCUGGGAAAGGUGUUGCCAAGGUGCAGCAAGCAGCUAGGCAGGAUGAGGAGGGCAGUCCCCUGGGGAGGACCACGCUCGCAAAGGGAAGUUAGGAGCAAGAGCUGGGAGAAAGAUGGCUUUCUGUAGCUUCCAUUAACCUUGCGGAAACCCCCCCACUUUGGGGUAGGGGGUGAAGGUAGUCAAGAACUGUUAGGUUUUCUUUUGGCCAGGGAUAUUUGCAAUAAAUGUCAUUCCCUUCUACAUCCAAUGCACAGUCAUUACCUAGGAACUUUCUCACUAUUUCGUGGGAACCCCGUUAAAACUUAAAGUUUAAAUAAAACAUGAGAACUCGGAGUGCAUAUUUAAAUGAACUCUGGCAUCCCUCAUAGAGUGGGGCGCCCGAGUCUGCAAACCCUUGGCCCGCGGGCCGGCUGUGGGGACGCCACACGUACCUCUCAGAAGUGACCCGGAUGCGCUCGUCGCUGGACGACUGCUGCUCGUCCUCCUUCUCCCGGAAGUGCUCCUGCACACACUGCUCCUCGAACUCAUGCAGUCUCUUCAGCUCCUCGUCGCUAAGGAAGAGCUCUGUGUGAAGGGAGAAGUGUCGGCCACGUGAAAAACAAGAAGAAUCAGUUUCGUGGCGUCAAUCGGCCGCUGAGACGCAUAAUGAUGAUAUAGAUGUGGCUUAAAAUGAUCAUCGGUGGGGGCAGGACUGGCCUGUCAUGAAAUGUCAUAAUCAGCUGAUAUCGCUGAAACUUCCACACCUGGUUGGAUAUUGAUUUUACUUCAAAGAAGGUUGACACAUCUAAAAGAAUCUUUGUUUCCAACUGGACUGACUUAUUGAGAGGAAAUAUUCCCUGCACCUCACCAGUGAAGACAGAAGACCUGGAAGCAGGAUGGGAGGCAUUUUAUACUUCAGCAUGAUAUGGGCCCUGACUUUCCAUUUUCUACAUGGAGACAUAUUUGUUGGUGCUGUCAUCCUCACGGGGAAACUAUGAAGUUGCAAACAUUGUGAUAACGGGAAACUUUUAAUAGUUUGCUGGAGUGUCUUCUACAUUCCUGGAAAUUGGAAAAUGUUACUUACUCCUCCCUGCCUCACAAAUUUCCUUCCUGAUUCUUUCCAGAACUGGGAAGUCAGAUGAGAGGACAUGCAGAUGAGUUGCCCACCCAGACACGCGAGCUGACCCUAGGGUCCCCUCAGUUAGUGGUGGCAUGUCCAGGAUUUGCUGUGGCCGCAGCAGGGCCCCAUCUCUGUGGCAGGGAAAGAGGCAGAGCUGGAGGUGGGGGUGGGUGAGGCAAAAGCGGGGAGUUAAGGGGCUGGGGGAGGACGUCUGAAGUGGGUCACCUGUCCCUGGUGGUUCACCAGGACGCCAAGAAAACUUCAGCUUCUGGGUCCCUCACCGGCACAGGCCCCUUUGGAAGGCUUGGGGGAGGGCUGCUAGAAGUUGAGUAUUUGUAAUUGGGCAUUUUUUUUUUUCCAAGAUCCCACCUCCCAAUCCUAUACAUUUUACCAGGAGACAGGCAGGCCCCCCCAGAUCCACUAUCCACUCCUCUAAGAAAGAUUAGAGCCAGGUUCUCAGACUUUGGGCUGCAACCUAAUCCCUGGGAAGCUGUACAGUGUGUGUUGACUCUACCCGAUCCAGAGGGUCUGGGGCGAGGCCCAAGGCUGAGAGGCUUCGAUGGCUUCCUGGCCCCAUCCCUGGCAGCAGCCUCUAUGGCUGGGCUCUCCUGUAGGCUGGGUGAACCUCAGGCCCUCAGAUGGUUCUGACCAGAAUUGAUGGGCAGCAGUGACUUCGACUGUAUCAUCAAUCAUGGCUGCCACAAGGUUGGGUGUCCAGGCCCACAGCUGACCCUUGAGGUGGGCCCCCACAUGGAGCUUUGCUCUGCCCCCAGUCCACCCUCAUUCAUCGCCCAGACCAUGGCCAGGGACCCAGCUCAUGUCCCAUGCCCUGUUCCCACCUCAUCACCAGUGCAACCACGGCCCCGAGACCUGCCUGGCAUGGGCUGCGGCUUGAUGCUUCGGGUUUCAUGAGAAGUGUCUUUCCUCCCGACUGACACGGUUGCACAAGCCACAGCAUGCCUGGCCACCCCCGCUGGUACUUCCUGCAGCUCGGCCAUUUCCCCCAGAGGCGCUCUGAUCUGCCCUCCUGCCUCCUCUCUUCCUCUUGUUAGCAGAGAGCCACACUCUAGGAGCUGUGUAGACCCGGGCCUCAGAGGGGGAUGGAGGAUGGCUUGCCAGCCAAGCUGGUCAAUUUGGUGAGCACUUCAGAACGAGAGGCCUGGAUUUGUUUCCCUAUUCAAAGAGUUUACUAUCUGGAUUUAGCCAUGCCCUUGUAAUGACCCCACCAAUUUCAUGAAAAAUGCAAUCUGUGAAUUUGCUCUUUAACUCACUAGUCAUCUCUGUUCAUUUAAAAAUAAAAUUAUAGUUCCCUAA